This 398-nucleotide long non-coding RNA is filed under the name Panax ginseng (ginseng). Its description in RNAcentral is "long non-coding RNA (PGIN_LNC008986)". The record is from RNAcentral. Lineage: Eukaryota; Viridiplantae; Streptophyta; Magnoliopsida; Apiales; Araliaceae.
CCGUGCUCCAUAGCGCUAUCGUGUUCAUAUGUAUUUUACCGUCCCGUAUCACACUGUCCCAUCCUCUAUCGAUUAUUGAUUUUGUUUAAAAUUCGCUACUAAAAUCGAUAUCGAUUUAAACUGAUUUCCCGUACCGUGAACAGGUAUGGUGCCGGGACAGUACCGAUAAACCCCCAUUUUAUACCGACACCUUAACUCACUCUAAUCAACACCAUAAACUAACAAAAGACCCAGAAACAUCCAAUGAGUUACCCAAAAGUCACCCAAAGAUAGAAACCACCACAUGCAACUACAAUCACUAAAAACCCAAACAAUUACAUCAAACCCCACAAAGAUGAGACUUCAGAGUGAGAAAGAGAAAAUUAAGAGUCAAAAUUUUGUUACGAGACAAAAAUUAU